AAGUCGUAACAAGGUUUCCGUAGGUGAACCUGCGGAAGGAUCAUUAACACGUAUCCAACGUUAAAACCCCUGUGAACCUUUAUUCGCCGCUCCCAGGGCUCAGUCGCGUAAAGCUAGCAAUCCCUGUACUCGUCCGAGAAAAGAAGGAGAAGGGACUUCUGGCAGUGCACCCUGGUUUCAGAGCGCUUGGUUAGUGGCUUGUUUUUCCCCAAGCAAUCAGUGAGUGAAAGUGUCAUUGGUUGUGUAAGGAUUUCGCCUAAACAGCGAUCACUGGAGGCCGAUCACCGGCCGGUGGAUCAAGUCACAGGAGCUUCGGCUUCCCUCCCCAACCCCACUUCCUAUUGCCGCUCCGCGCUAACAACGCCGGGCACUCAAAACGUACUAAACAACUGUUAACAAUGGAUAUCUUGGUUCUC
RNAcentral lists this unclassified non-coding RNA (416 nucleotides) under fungal sp. Its description in RNAcentral is "partial internal transcribed spacer region". The stretch from base 1 to 46 matches the Rfam family "Eukaryotic small subunit ribosomal RNA", at positions 1786 to 1831 of the family's 1831-position model. RNAcentral also lists the same sequence under 1 other name. Lineage: Eukaryota; Fungi. The record is from RNAcentral.